This is a non-coding RNA of Drosophila bipectinata, 365 nucleotides long. The record is from RefSeq and is a predicted model, not a curated record. Lineage: Eukaryota; Metazoa; Arthropoda; Insecta; Diptera; Drosophilidae.
UAUAUAUAAAACACAUUUUCCUGUUAAAUUCAGUUUAAGUUUAGCUUUUAAAACAAUUUAUCAUGGACCUGAAAGCAAUGCAAUUGUUUGUUUUAUUGAUGCUUACUUUACUAGUGACUAUAACAGAACAGAGAGGGUGCGAAAAUCCUAAAAUCUCACAGGAAGCCUGCCGUUACCCAAAGUAAAGUUCCCGCAAGCAGGGGGAAAGGGCUGAAUGGUUUGGGUAACUCAUCGAGAAUUUUCAAAUGGCAAUCAACGAAUGAAUUUUUAAAUAAUGUUCCAUUUCAACUAAUAUAAAAUGUUCAUCAAAUAUAUAAUGAAAGAAAUCUGAAUAAAUAUUAAGUUACUACCAUCAGCAACAAAGA